This 332-nucleotide ribosomal RNA is filed under the name uncultured bacterium. Its description in RNAcentral is "bacterial SSU rRNA". It matches the Rfam family "Bacterial small subunit ribosomal RNA", at positions 568 to 898 of the family's 1533-position model. The record is from RNAcentral.
UGCGCAGGCGACCAAGUGUGUGAGGCGUGAAAGCCCGGAGCUCAACUCCGGAAUUGCACCUCAAACUACAUGGCUAGAGCAUUGGAGAGGGUAGCAGAAUUCACGGUGUAGCAGUGAAAUGCGUAGAUAUCGUGAGGAAUACCAGAGGCGAAGGCGGCUACCUGGACAAUUGCUGACGCUCAGGCACGAAAGCGUGGGGAGCAAAAGGGAUUAGAUACCCCUGUAGUCCACGCCCUAAACGGUGCACACUAGGUCUUGGCGGAUUCGACCCCCCCAGGGCCCAAGCUAACGCGUUAAGUGUGCCGCCUGAGGACUACGGCCGCAAGGCUAAA